UUGUCGAGAAUUCACUUGGGUGGGGCAAUGAGCUAACCGCAAACCUUUGCUUCUGGUCAUUGCUUGCUUGCUACACCCCUUUCAACUAGCAUCUCUUCACGUGUUCCAGGACUCCCGCUACACACCUGCUGGUAGGUAGACUGAGGGCAUCCAACAGUCCUUGAGGCUCUGUUGGAAUUUCUUCAGUCUUUUUCCUUUCUAUCCUUAAAUCUGAUGAUAUUAAUUGACCUGUUUUCAAGUUUGCUUGAAAAGUUUGCUUCUCCUGCCAACUCAAAUUCAAUUACUUUACUUUUGAACUACAGAGUUUCCAUUUGGUUCUUUUAAAAUGAUUUCUCUGUCUGUAUUGGUAUUCUGUACUUGGUGAGACACAACUUGCACGGUCAUUUUAAUUUUUUUUUUUUUUUUAUUUGAGAGACAGUCUUGCUCUGUUGCCUGGGUGCAGUGUCACGGUGUCAGCCUCUGGAGACCAGUUUCUUAUCCCACAGGUUUUGUGGUUUUGUCUUUUCCUUGCGGCUCCUGUGUCUGGUGACUUUCCUGGGCUGAUUCUGUGGCGUCUGCUCCCUGCCUGUGGAGCCAGUGAAGUCCCGGCUCUGUCGGUUGGGUGGUGGUUCAGCGAACAACGGGACAGUUUCCUUACAUGUCCUGAUCCGACAAACCUUCCAGCUUUCACCGAGGGGCUUUUGAACACUCUGGCAGGUCGCAGCUGUGCCUCAGCCUCCACAUCCUGCCUGUAGAGAACCCCCGGCUCGCCCAGAAGUGAGACACGGAACGAGGUCUGUCAUUCCCGGGCGUGCAUGGACCCUGCACACGUGUGGCCUUGGCAGCCACAGGCAUCUUGGCCAAUGUGACAUUGCGCAGUGGCCACUGGCUGUUUCUGGCCAGCGCACUGCGGGCUUCCCGCCGAAUGAACGCCAAGUCGUGUCAUGUGACGACCAGCCACGCGAACGUGGCUUUUCGGGGGAGCUGCCAGUGACAGUGCUCCGGGGUGGGACUUUCCGGGGGACCCCACACCCUGCCUGCCCCUCCAGAGGCUGCUGGUUUUCGAGGACCCGAGUGAGGAGCUUAGGGCACUCAUCUCCAUGCUUGGGAGUUCCUCUCCCACCUGACUUGGGAUUCCGGAUGCCACUGGGACGUGGUAGCCCUUGGGUGGAGACCUGUCCUGUCACCCCGGGACUGGGACUGGACACUGCAAGGUCACCUGGGCAGUGCAGGUGCUCUUUCCACACAGGAGGGAAAUGGCCGUGGGCUGUCCACGAAAACCCCUCAUCUGCUUCCAGCUUGCAGAACAGCCGUCAGCUUUCUCUGCAGUGGAAACCCCCAUUUUCCUCCUCCUGCCCACCUGUGCCCUGGGCAAGCUGCCGGCGUCCCUGCGAGGAGGACCCUGUGCCAGGGAAGGGGCCCUGGAGUCUAGGCACUUACCUGAGCUUCACUUUGUUUUAAGGUAACAGAGGUCAUGAAAGCCGCUGAAGGUCAUGUCUCUGGAGGCUGUGGUCUGGUGACAGCCUGGGCAACAGCUCGGGGGACCCCGGGGCACUUGUCUGGCUCCAGCUCCAGCCAGAGCCCCCCGAGGGCAGGGUGGCCCCCAGUGUGCAGGCAGCAGCCCUCAGACCAGCAGUUCUGGGUACUCUGACGUUUUCUCAGCACCAAGUGCUCAGCCGAGGCAAGCGUCUGUCCCCAGGUGUCAGUACAAAUGUCCUAUCUGAGGGACGCCAGCCUUCAUCAUUUGUCUCGGGCAGCACCCGGCAGGUGCGUGGAGCUGCUCACACCUGGGUACGCGGCCCUGGGCGCUGAACAGGCAGCCAUGGAGCUGCAGGCACCACCGUUGGGGCGGAAACCGCUGACGCCAGGUCCAGCUGCUCUGUAGGGGACAUAGUGACCAGCAGCCAAGUCCCUUCUGGGGCACAGGUGUGCCCGGUGCUCUGAGGACGUCCUUUCUGAAGCUUCACGUGCCCACCCCCGGUACAGGGCACACAGGAAGCAAAGACGGCUGCACCCCACCCCCAAGGCCCCUUGGGACUGACAGCCCCAGGACUGGUCCCCAGGUCUGCCUGCAUCGAUCUGCCACCUGCAGCGCAGGCCCAGGUGAAGGUUGGGGGGAGGGGAGGUUCUGCAGGGGUCCCACGUCAGGGCAGGAAGGAAGGGAAGAUAGAAUUUGUUUUAAAAUGUAAAGCUAGCGAUCUGUGAGGAAGAAGC
Microcebus murinus (gray mouse lemur) is the source of this 2193-nucleotide non-coding RNA. Lineage: Eukaryota; Metazoa; Chordata; Mammalia; Primates; Cheirogaleidae. The record is from RefSeq and is a predicted model, not a curated record.